This 274-nucleotide ribosomal RNA is filed under the name uncultured bacterium. Its description in RNAcentral is "partial 16S ribosomal RNA". It matches the Rfam family "Bacterial small subunit ribosomal RNA", at positions 523 to 796 of the family's 1533-position model. The record is from RNAcentral.
AUACGGAGGGCGCGAGCGUUGUUCGGAAUCACUGGGCGUAAAGCGGGUGUAGGCGGCCUGUCAAGUCAGAUGUGAAAGCCCACGGCUCAACCGUGGAAGUGCAUCUGAAACUGGCAGGCUUGAGUACCGGAGAGGGAAGUGGAAUUCCUGGUGUAGGGGUGAAAUCCGUAGAUAUCAGGAGGAACACCGGUGGCGAAGGCGACUUCCUGGACGGAUACUGACGCUGAGACACGAAAGCGUGGGGAGCAAACAGGAUUAGAAACCCUAGUAGUCC